GGUCUUCGGAUGCUGACGAGUGGCGAACGGGUGAGUAAUACAUCGGAACGUGCCCGAUCGUGGGGGAUAACGCAGCGAAAGCUGUGCUAAUACCGCAUACGAUCUACGGAUGAAAGCGGGGGAUCGCAAGACCUCGCGCGGACGGAGCGGCCGAUGGCAGAUUAGGUAGUUGGUGGGAUAAAAGCUUACCAAGCCGACGAUCUGUAGCUGGUCUGAGAGGACGACCAGCCACACUGGGACUGAGACACGGCCCAGACUCCUACGGGAGGCAGCAGUGGGGAAUUUUGGACAAUGGGGGAAACCCUGAUCCAGCCAUGCCGCGUGCAGGAUGAAGGCCUUCGGGUUGUAAACUGCUUUUGUACGGAACGAAAAGGUCCUUUCUAAUAAAGAGGGCUCAUGACGGUACCGUAAGAAUAAGCACCGGCUAACUACGUGCCA
RNAcentral lists this ribosomal RNA (438 nucleotides) under uncultured bacterium. Its description in RNAcentral is "bacterial SSU rRNA". It matches the Rfam family "Bacterial small subunit ribosomal RNA", at positions 75 to 510 of the family's 1533-position model. The record is from RNAcentral.